Molecule: ribosomal RNA, 568 nt
Filed under: uncultured archaeon
Lineage: Archaea
Description: bacterial SSU rRNA
Rfam family: Archaeal small subunit ribosomal RNA
Source: RNAcentral
CGCGAAUUCGCCCUUCGGGGCGCAGCAGGCGCGAAAACUUUACAAUGCUGGAAACAGCGAUAAGGGGACCUCGAGUGCCAGGUUACAAAUCUGGCUGUCGUGAUGCCUAAAAAGCAUUGCAUAGCAAGGGCCGGGCAAGACCGGUGCCAGCCGCCGCGGUAACACCGGCGGCUCGAGUGGUAACCGUUAUUAUUGGGUCUAAAGGGUCUGUAGCCGGCCGGAUAAGUCUCUUGGGAAAUCCAGCAGCUCAACUGUUGGGCUUUCAGGAGAUACUGUCUGGCUCGAGGCCGGGAGAGGUGAGAGGUACUUCAGGGGUAGGGGUGAAAUCUUGUAAUCCUUGAAGGACCACCAGUGGCGAAGGCGUCUCACCAGAACGGACCUGACGGCAAGGGACGAAAGCUAGGGGCACGAACCGGAUUAGAUACCCGGGUAGUCCUAGCCGUAAACGAUACUCGCUAGGUGUCGGCCACGGUGCGACCGUUGUCGGUGCCGUAGGGAAGCCGUGAAGCGAGCCACCUGGGAAGUACGGCCGCAAGGCUGAAACUUAAAGGAAUUGGCGGGGGAGCAC